Molecule: ribosomal RNA, 201 nt
Filed under: uncultured euryarchaeote
Lineage: Archaea; Methanobacteriati; Methanobacteriota
Description: partial 16S ribosomal RNA
Rfam family: Archaeal small subunit ribosomal RNA
Source: RNAcentral
GCGAAACCUUUACAAUGGCACCGAAACGUGUGAUAAGGCAACCUCCUUGUGCUUAUCCAAAAGAUAGGCUUUUUAGUAUGUAAUGUAUACUAAGAAUAAGUGAUGGGCAAGACCGGUGCCAGCAGCCGCGGUAAUACCGGCGUCACAAGUGGAGAUCACGGAUUACCUGGGGUCUAAAGUGUUCGUAGGCUGGUCAUAUAA